This 443-nucleotide ribosomal RNA is filed under the name uncultured bacterium. Its description in RNAcentral is "bacterial SSU rRNA". It matches the Rfam family "Bacterial small subunit ribosomal RNA", at positions 791 to 1231 of the family's 1533-position model. The record is from RNAcentral.
UAGUCCACACCGUAAACGAUGUGUGCUAGUUGUCGGGCAGUUUACUGUUCGGUGACGCAGCUAACGCAUUAAGCACACCGCCUGGGGAGUACGGCCGCAAGGUUAAAACUCAAAGGAAUUGACGGGGACCCGCACAAGCGGUGGAGCAUGUGGUUUAAUUUGACGCAACGCGGAGAACCUUACCAGCCCUUGACAUCCUGGUCGCGAGGAGUGGAGACACACCUUUUCAGUUCGGCUGGACCAGUGACAGGUGGUGCACGGCUGUCGUCAGCUCGUGUCGUGAGAUGUUAGGUUAAGUCCUGCAACGAGCGCAACCCCUAUCGUCUGUUGCCAUCAUUAAGUUGGGAACUCUGACGAGACUGCCGGUGAUAAGCCGGAGGAAGGCGGGGACGACGUCAAGUCAUCAUGCCCUUACGGGGCUGGGGCUACACACGUGCUACAAU